CACCUACCCAAAAUCUUCUCUUUAAAUCUUGUUUCUGAGAGGCCAAUAAAUCCGAGAGAGGGGUUGAACCAAGCUGUUUUUGAAAUAAGAAGGAAAAAGAAAAGGGAACAUUGAUAAGAGUCGAAGAAGCUGAAGAAGGAAAGGAAGGUCGCUGGAAGGAAGGAGCUGAUCGUUGGAUUUAACGAACCGUUGGACCCGACCCGACCCAAUUAGCAGAUUCUGGUCCACUACCCAAAACUAGACUCGAAGGACUUAAUUGUAGAUCUUUGAACGAAUUGGAAAUUUGUUGAAGACCCGAAACAAGCUCGAAAAGUCUACAACAAGUGCUAAGUAGACCAAUGUCGGUGGCGGGAAUGUGUGGAGUCGUGCGGCUACAGUGGAGACCCUUAAAUCGAGUCCUCUUUGUCCACGUCGUUUUAAUGCCAUUUUGAUGUUUAUUUUUGGAAAACUUAUGCUAUUUUGUAACUGUUUUUCUUUUGUUGUGUUUCCGCGGAUCCCGUUAAGUUUUGGAACUAUUUGGAUUUUUAAUGCUUAUCAGAUAACAUUAAUUUUAUUGUGUCUCCCGUUUUAUCAAAUGAAAAUGUUGUAGGGCUUUUUA
Molecule: long non-coding RNA, 598 nt
Organism: Cucurbita moschata (crookneck pumpkin)
Lineage: Eukaryota; Viridiplantae; Streptophyta; Magnoliopsida; Cucurbitales; Cucurbitaceae
Exons: 3
Source: RefSeq, a predicted model, not a curated record